GGGGUAAGGGUAGCUUGCUACCUGACCUAGACGCCGGACGGGUGAGUAAUGCUUAGGAAUCUGCCUAUUAGUGGGGGACAACAUUCCGAAAGGAAUGCUAAUACCGCAUACGCCCUACGGGGGAAAGCAGGGGAUCUUCGGACCUUGCGCUAAUAGAUGAGCCUAAGUCAGAUUAGCUAGUUGGUGGGGUAAAGGCCUACCAAGGCGACGAUCUGUAGCGGGUCUGAGAGGAUGAUCCGCCACACAUGGGACUGAGACACGGCCCAUACUCCUACGGGAGGCAGCAGUGGGGAAUAUUGGACAAUGGGCGAAAGCCUGAUCCAUCCAUGCCGCGUGUGUGAAGAAGGCC
Molecule: ribosomal RNA, 349 nt
Filed under: uncultured bacterium
Lineage: Bacteria
Description: bacterial SSU rRNA
Rfam family: Bacterial small subunit ribosomal RNA
Source: RNAcentral